CGGCAACAGCUCAAAUUUGAAAUCUGGCCCUCGGGUCCGAAUUGUAAUUUGAAGAAGCGAUUAUCACGUUUUCGUUCGGGUUCAAGUUCCUUGGAAUAGGACAUCAGAGAGGGUGAGAAUCCCGU
Molecule: ribosomal RNA, 125 nt
Filed under: Archaeosporaceae sp.
Lineage: Eukaryota; Fungi; Glomeromycota; Glomeromycetes; Archaeosporales; Archaeosporaceae
Description: partial large subunit ribosomal RNA
Rfam family: Eukaryotic large subunit ribosomal RNA
Source: RNAcentral